UGCUCUUCAUAAUUAAAGUAAGUUGGAUUACUAUUCCUACAGUCAGCAGCUCGGUGGCCUGACUUCCUACACUUGAAUCAAUUCAUAGUUGUGAUAUUGCACUAAAAAACACGAUGUUCAAACUCACCAUAUUUGAAACAUCUCACGGAAGUAGGAGUCCCUCCCCCACUCCAUUUUCCCUACCUAUAACCCUCUGACCAGCCUUCUACUUCCCUUUGUAAGCUGGAGCAAUAUAUGGUUU
RNAcentral lists this long non-coding RNA (241 nucleotides) under Lathyrus oleraceus (garden pea). Its description in RNAcentral is "Pisum sativum (pea) long non-coding RNA (PSAT_LNC004174)". Lineage: Eukaryota; Viridiplantae; Streptophyta; Magnoliopsida; Fabales; Fabaceae. The record is from RNAcentral.